UAAGCGACUAAGCGUACACGGUGGAUGCCCUGGCAGUCAGAGGCGAUGAAGGACGUGCUAAUCUGCGAUAAGCGUCGGUAAGGUGAUAUGAACCGUUAUAACCGGCGAUUUCCGAAUGGGGAAACCCAGUGUGAUUCGUCACACUAUCAUUAACUGAAUCCAUAGGUUAAUGAGGCGAACGGGGGACUGAAACAUCUAAGUACCCCGAGGAAAAGAAAUCAACCGAGAUUCCCCCAGUAGCGGCGAGCGAACGGGGAGCAGCCCAGAGCCUGAAUCAGUAUGUGUGUUAGUGGAAGCGUCUGGAAAGGCGCGCGAUACAGGGUGACAGCCCCGUACACAAAAAUGCACAUGCUGUGAGCUCGAUGAGUAGGGCGGGACACGUGGUAUCCUGUCUGAAUAUGGGGGGACCAUCCUCCAAGGCUAAAUACUCCUGACUGACCGAUAGUGAACCAGUACCGUGAGGGAAAGGCGAAAAGAACCCCGGCGAGGGGAGUGAAAAAGAACCUGAAACCGUGUACGUACAAGCAGUGGGAGCACGCUUAGGCGUGUGACUGCGUACCUUUUGUAUAAUGGGUCAGCGACUUAUAUUCUGUAGCAAGGUUAACCGAAUAGGGGAGCCGAAGGGAAACCGAGUCUUAACUGGGCGUUAAGUUGCAGGGUAUAGACCCGAAACCCGGUGAUCUAGCCAUGGGCAGGUUGAAGGUUGGGUAACACUAACUGGAGGACCGAACCGACUAAUGUUGAAAAAUUAGCGGAUGACUUGUGGCUGGGGGUGAAAGGCCAAUCAAACCGGGAGAUAGCUGGUUCUCCCCGAAAGCUAUUUAGGUAGCGCCUCGUGAAUUCAUCUCCGGGGGUAGAGCACUGUUUCGGCAAGGGGGUCAUCCCGACUUACCAACCCGAUGCAAACUGCGAAUACCGGAGAAUGUUAUCACGGGAGACACACGGCGGGUGCUAACGUCCGUCGUGAAGAGGGAAACAACCCAGACCGCCAGCUAAGGUCCCAAAGUCAUGGUUAAGUGGGAAACGAUGUGGGAAGGCCCAGACAGCCAGGAUGUUGGCUUAGAAGCAGCCAUCAUUUAAAGAAAGCGUAAUAGCUCACUGGUCGAGUCGGCCUGCGCGGAAGAUGUAACGGGGCUAAACCAUGCACCGAAGCUGCGGCAGCGACGCUUAUGCGUUGUUGGGUAGGGGAGCGUUCUGUAAGCCUGUGAAGGUGUGCUGUGAGGCAUGCUGGAGGUAUCAGAAGUGCGAAUGCUGACAUAAGUAACGAUAAAGCGGGUGAAAAGCCCGCUCGCCGGAAGACCAAGGGUUCCUGUCCAACGUUAAUCGGGGCAGGGUGAGUCGACCCCUAAGGCGAGGCCGAAAGGCGUAGUCGAUGGGAAACAGGUUAAUAUUCCUGUACUUGGUGUUACUGCGAAGGGGGGACGGAGAAGGCUAUGUUGGCCGGGCGACGGUUGUCCCGGUUUAAGCGUGUAGGCUGGUUUUCCAGGCAAAUCCGGAAAAUCAAGGCUGAGGCGUGAUGACGAGGCACUACGGUGCUGAAGCAACAAAUGCCCUGCUUCCAGGAAAAGCCUCUAAGCAUCAGGUAACAUCAAAUCGUACCCCAAACCGACACAGGUGGUCAGGUAGAGAAUACCAAGGCGCUUGAGAGAACUCGGGUGAAGGAACUAGGCAAAAUGGUGCCGUAACUUCGGGAGAAGGCACGCUGAUAUGUAGGUGAAGUCCCUCGCGGAUGGAGCUGAAAUCAGUCGAAGAUACCAGCUGGCUGCAACUGUUUAUUAAAAACACAGCACUGUGCAAACACGAAAGUGGACGUAUACGGUGUGACGCCUGCCCGGUGCCGGAAGGUUAAUUGAUGGGGUCAGCGCAAGCGAAGCUCUUGAUCGAAGCCCCGGUAAACGGCGGCCGUAACUAUAACGGUCCUAAGGUAGCGAAAUUCCUUGUCGGGUAAGUUCCGACCUGCACGAAUGGCGUAAUGAUGGCCAGGCUGUCUCCACCCGAGACUCAGUGAAAUUGAACUCGCUGUGAAGAUGCAGUGUACCCGCGGCAAGACGGAAAGACCCCGUGAACCUUUACUAUAGCUUGACACUGAACAUUGAGCCUUGAUGUGUAGGAUAGGUGGGAGGCUUGGAAGUGUGGACGCCAGUCUGCAUGGAGCCGACCUUGAAAUACCACCCUUUAAUGUUUGAUGUUCUAACGUUGACCCGUAAUCCGGGUUGCGGACAGUGUCUGGUGGGUAGUUUGACUGGGGCGGUCUCCUCCUAAAGAGUAACGGAGGAGCACGAAGGUUGGCUAAUCCUGGUCGGACAUCAGGAGGUUAGUGCAAUGGCAUAAGCCAGCUUGACUGCGAGCGUGACGGCGCGAGCAGGUGCGAAAGCAGGUCAUAGUGAUCCGGUGGUUCUGAAUGGAAGGGCCAUCGCUCAACGGAUAAAAGGUACUCCGGGGAUAACAGGCUGAUACCGCCCAAGAGUUCAUAUCGACGGCGGUGUUUGGCACCUCGAUGUCGGCUCAUCACAUCCUGGGGCUGAAGUAGGUCCCAAGGGUAUGGCUGUUCGCCAUUUAAAGUGGUACGCGAGCUGGGUUUAGAACGUCGUGAGACAGUUCGGUCCCUAUCUGCCGUGGGCGCUGGAGAACUGAGGGGGGCUGCUCCUAGUACGAGAGGACCGGAGUGGACGCAUCACUGGUGUUCGGGUUGUCAUGCCAAUGGCACUGCCCGGUAGCUAAAUGCGGAAGAGAUAAGUGCUGAAAGCAUCUAAGCACGAAACUUGCCCCGAGAUGAGUUCUCCCUGACUCCUUGAGAGUCCUGAAGGAACGUUGAAGACGACGACGUUGAUAGGCCGGGUGUGUAAGCGCAGCGAUGCGUUGAGCUAACCGGUACUAAUGAACCGUGAGGCUUAACCU
Molecule: ribosomal RNA, 2898 nt
Filed under: Escherichia coli DEC10B
Lineage: Bacteria; Pseudomonadati; Pseudomonadota; Gammaproteobacteria; Enterobacterales; Enterobacteriaceae
Description: bacterial LSU rRNA
Rfam family: Bacterial large subunit ribosomal RNA
Source: RNAcentral